RNAcentral lists this long non-coding RNA (289 nucleotides) under Setaria italica (foxtail millet). Its description in RNAcentral is "long non-coding RNA (SITA_LNC006528)". Lineage: Eukaryota; Viridiplantae; Streptophyta; Magnoliopsida; Poales; Poaceae. The record is from RNAcentral.
UUUCCCUACCCACCAUUGCCCCCAAAUCCCUCAAGGAUACCCUCAAAGAUACCAUCAUCCAUCCCUGACUAUGUAAGAUAAGUAUGUAAGACAUAUUGUAGUCAGAGAUUUGAAUCCAGCAAGAAAUGAAGAGUUACAAUCAGAGAUUUGAAUCCAGCAAGAAAUGAAGUGUAGAAAUAUAAGACAUAUUGUAGACAUAUUGUAGUCAGACAGCUUGAAGUAACUGUUAAGUAUCUGGAACUAAACAAAAUAGCAAGAGUUACAGUGAUCAGGAAAGGUAACUGAUGAU